Molecule: ribosomal RNA, 277 nt
Filed under: uncultured bacterium
Lineage: Bacteria
Description: partial 16S ribosomal RNA
Rfam family: Bacterial small subunit ribosomal RNA
Source: RNAcentral
ACCUACGGGGGGCAGCAGUGGGGAAUAUUGCACAAUGGGCGAAAGCCUGAUGCAGCGACGCCGCGUGAGGGAUGACGGCCUUCGGGUUGUAAACCUCUUUCAGCAGGGAAGAAGCGAAAGUGACGGUACCUGCAGAAGAAGCACCGGCUAACUACGUGCCAGCAGCCGCGGUAAUACGUAGGGUGCGAGCGUUGUCCGGAAUUAUUGGGCGUAAAGAGCUUGUAGGCGGUUUGUCGCGUCUGCUGUGAAAAUCCGGGGCUCAACCCCGGACUUGCAG